UUUAUAUAUAUUUUCAGAAAGUUUGCUGGAAAGGAGAUAGAAGAAGAAGACAGCUUACUACCUAUCAUGAAGCUUCGGGGGUUUUAUAAACAGUGGAGAAAGGUGUAUUAAUGGCCGAGAGAAAAGAUCACCAAGGAGUCAAGGGACUACGACCGGUUUUGAAAAAGGGCUCGGAGGUGGUUGUUAAUUACGGCUUAUGCCACCACUCUCGUACAAAGAACCCAGCAACGGAAGGGCCACCAAAUUGCACAGCUCAGUGUGUGCCAGGAAAGUACGGACUUCAUGAAUGUAUCUAUGACUGUAUAGUGGCUGGGUACGACUAUGGAACGUGUAAUCCGAACCCUACUGGAAAAUGUUGUUGUGCCUACGAGGGCCAUGACCGAUAAAAACUGAUCUUAUGUAUUCUUAUAAUUGGUGAUUUGACGAUGGAUUAUGUUGUUCUUAGUAUUAUGUUUUAAAAGGUGACUUUUUCUAUUGUUCUUUCUCAAUUUUAUUUGGUAAUAAAUUUAGCGAAACAAACUAAUUUUUAUUGUUGUAUGGUUUUUAUUGCCUUUAGUAAACGAAAUUUAAAAACAAAAAACAAAAAAAAAAUCGUUUGAUUAGAGUGUUUAGGUCAAACAGCUCAAAACAGAGAUGUUGUAUGUAUCAUAUAUAUAUAUAUGCAAAUUACUGGAUCAUAUAUUGAGCCUGAAUAUUAUUCGUAUCCUCACUGAUAUGUGGUGCUUUGUGGGAUAUGUCCACUCAAACUCCUCUUAUCGAGUCCAUCAAAACAUCAACACCUUCUGCUUCGGUCUCAUUGUUCCAUGGCCGUAAAAUAAUGAGAUACUCCAUCAAUGUUUUUUUUUUUUUUUUUGGUAAAAUACUCCAUCAAUGUUGAGUUUUCAUCUUCUAUUCUAUCAUAUAAUGGGCUUUUGUGUUUAAUAAUAAGAUCUCUGAUGAUUAUAUGUUGGACUGGACUCCUUAGCCGAAAGAGACCAUACAAAUAUUAUAAGUAAAAAAGAAGUAUUAAAUUAUAAGCUUUUUAGUUUUUGCUAUAUAAUAAAAAUCAUCCCAUUGAAAAUAUAAAAAUAUAUCUAUUAAUAUUUUGAGAAAAAUUCAUAUAAAUACCUCAACUGAAUUUUAAUAAGCUUUUUGAUAGCCAAACUGAUGACAAAAAAAAAAGAUAGCCAAACUUUUUUGCUAUCCGGAUUAAUUCUGAAAAUAAUCAUUUUGCUCAGUUUAAUACACUUAAUUUUAAAAUUAUUAUCAUUUUAAUACAGAAACUAUUUUCAUUUUAACAAUAAACACUAAUUUUCUAAAAACUAACUUUUAAAAUCCCUACAAUUCAUAAACAAAUCUUAGAAAAGUUCAAAUUUUCUUUUAAGUUUCAAGAAAAAUAUUAACUAAAUUUUGGAUAAAUUUUUAAAAUUUAUAAAAACUGAAUUCUGAAUAAAAUAAAAAAAUUAGUAAAAUAUUUACGAAAAAAACUAAGUUUGGAAUUAAAACAAAUACUUAUCUCAUAAUUUUUAAAAAUUAUCCAAAUUUUAGAUAUUUUUAUUCCAAAACUUAAAAAUAAAAUUAGAUAUUUUAAGAUUUAGCUUUAAAUUUUAAAUUUAUUUUUGUAAAAUAUGAAACUUACUAAUAUUUUUGAUUAAAAACAUAGUUUAAGUAUUAGAAUGAGCAUAGUAUUCAAAGUAAAUGUAUUAAAAGGAGCAAAAUAAUUAGUUUGGUUAUUAUACUGGAUAACAAAAAAGUGGGUAUUAAAAAGCUAAUCAACAUUUUAGUUGGGUAUUUUUAUGAAAUUUUCCUUAAUAUUUUAGCAAAAUGUUGUUAGUAGAUUUUGUCCAAAAAGGAUAAUCUUAACAAAUACGGAAAUUUUAUUUAUAGUCAAAGCAACAAAAACGCACUAAACUGAAACGUUUUGACAGGAACUACACAAAUAUAAAAUAAUUUAAAUAUAUUUAAAGUGUUUUCAUUUCUAGCUAAAAUUUAAAUUAAUUUUUAUAUUUUUAUCACGUCAAAUUUGUCUAUUUAUUUUACAAAUCAUAAACUUAGCUAAACAUAAUCUAAUUAUUUUACAGAUCGAAUUACAAAUCAUAAAAUAUAAUUUUUCAAAAAUUUGUUCUAAUUUAGUGUCUAACGAUAUGUCACUUCGACUAUUUUUAAUAAAGAAACAUCUAACUAAUAGUUGUAGUCUAAACUAUAGAUCUAAUGUUAAAUUUUCAAAAUUGCUCUUCACUUUAAUACACAGUCACACGCAUAAAAUAAAAGGAUAUUAUCGUAAACUAAGCUUGUCAUCAUUUGCCUUUGUUGUGGAAACUCAUCAUCUGUCGACUCGAAAAAAGUUUUUCUUUCUCCAAGAACAAAUCCUUUUUUCUUCUAUGUGUUUGCCUCUUGAAAUUUUCCGGAUAAAAUCUCUGAUUGAUUUAGAGACUUAAGGGUAAAAAAAGUACUGGUGCUGAGAAGAGUAGUGAUUUGGAGAAGAGUUUGGAAGUCGUUUCUAGCGGUUUCAGCGCGUAGUUUGCUCUUCUCCUUCACCCUUCUUCUCGCUCUCAAGCUUGAUCGUGUUCUUUCUCAAUCAUGGUGGUCAGUUUCUUUCUUUCUUUUUUCAUAAUUUGCUGCAUUGACUUCUUUGUAUAGUCAAAGUUGGGAUAAUUAUCUGAAUCAGUUGAUGAGUUUCUUUGAUAUUGAGUUUUGACUAAGUUUAGUUUAGGUACAAACUAUAAAAAAUAUAUCCUUGUGUGUUUAACGAUGUCUAAAGUAGAAGCCCUUAUCAUCCUUUGGCUCUGUUUUUUGCAGAUUUAUAUGUACACCCUUGUGGCUGUUUCGUGCUGUGAUUUCUCGUGGUAGAUUUCGCUGCAUGCUACAUCUAUGACAUCUUUAGUGGUUAUCACCUUUGCUCUUUGUUAGCAUCAUGUUGUUUGUAAAUUUUAAAUUCCGGGUUUGUGGCAGUGGGCUCCUUUUCAAUCUGUUAUGGCAACGCCACUGCUUGUUGCUUUUGAGAUCAUGCUCUGUGUACAUCUUGAAGAUCAAUAUGGUAUACUCUUUAACUUGUAUUAUUAAUCGCGGCUGUAUUUAUAGCUGGUGUGUUUGUUUAUGAUAGAUUUGGUUGUGUCCCUGACUCCUUGUGUUGUAGUUGUUUAUGAUAUAUUUGGUUGUGUUUUA
RNA transcript from Brassica napus (rape), 3144 nucleotides. RefSeq lists it as uncharacterized. The record is from RefSeq and is a predicted model, not a curated record. The transcript has 2 exons. NCBI's taxonomy places the organism in Eukaryota, Viridiplantae, Streptophyta, Magnoliopsida, Brassicales, Brassicaceae.